This 456-nucleotide ribosomal RNA is filed under the name uncultured bacterium. RNAcentral's name for it is "partial 16S ribosomal RNA". It matches the Rfam family "Bacterial small subunit ribosomal RNA", at positions 338 to 794 of the family's 1533-position model. The record is from RNAcentral.
CCUACGGGAGGCAGCAGUGAGGAAUUUUGGGCAAUGGGCGAAAGCCUGACCCAGCAACGCCGCGUGGGUGAUGACGUUCUGCGGAACGUAAAACCCUGUUGGAGGGGAUGAAAUUUCUGCAUCGCAGGAAUCGACAGUACCCUCAAAGAAAGCUCCGGCCAACUCCGUGCCAGCAGCCGCGGUAAUACGGGGGGAGCGAGCGUUGUCCGGAUUCACUGGGCGUAAAGCGCGUGUAGGCGGGUUGGUAAGUCAGUGGUAAAAGCCCUCAGCUUAACUGAGGAAUUGCUGCUGAUACUGCCAAUCUUGAGUGUGGAAGAGGGAAGCGGAAUUCCUGGUAUAGCGGUGAAAUGCGUAGAUAUCAGGAAGAACACCGGUAGCGAAGGCGGCUUCCUGGUCCAUUACUGACGCUGAAACGCGAAAGCGUGGGGAGCAAACAGGAUUAGAUCCCCUUGUAGU